AAUGAUUUAGCUUUGUGAAUAUGGGGACAGUGAUAGCCCAAUUUCUUUGAUAAAUUAUUUCAUUUCAGAAGACUGGCAUGUGCUAAGUACUAGGAAAAAAGACAGACCAGGUGAGGAGAUGAAUGGAGUGAGAAGACAGCCCAGUGGAAUGAGAAACUAAUGAGGACCUAAAUGCCUGUGAUGGAGGUGAGGACAAAGGGGUAUCUUUAACAACACCAGGAGAGAGAAAACUGGAUGGACAAUAAUGCAGGGUGGCUUUUGUAUUGAGCUUGCUUGUGCCUAUGAACCAUGAUGAAUGACAAAUGCAAUUGCAUGCUGAAAACCGGGUUGAGUGAUCCAGGCUCAUUUAUGUGUCUGAACACCUAUAAUUACAGGACUUUAGAAAACACAGGAAAUGGAGAAACAUAGACAACCUACAAGCAAGUAAAGAGACAAUUCCAGAAUGUUAAAAUCUAUACGGGAAUGACAGUGUCUGCAAGCCAUUGAUAUUAAAAAAUAUCCUUUGCAUGGUGAAGCCAAAUGUGGACCAGACAUGAGCAGAUAUUACUGGAUCUUGGACAAGUGGGUCUCUAAGCUGCGUGGCCUUAGGUGACUUACUUCAGAGUUGUGCUUCUGCAAAAGAAGAAAAAUAAUAACAACUGGAUUGUUGUGAGCAGACAAGCAUGUUUGGCCCAUGUGCACAGCAAAUGCAUCAGAAAGCUGAUGUACCUGAAACCCAUAACUCAUACACGUUAGUGAAGAAAUGAAGAAAUAGCAGCUUCCUCACCCUGCACCAUCUCCCUGAGUUCCAGCAGGAUCCUCAACAGUUGCCCACAAUGAGAACUUGCUUGAUUACACACUCAUUAUUGGAUUUAGUCCCUUCCCUGUCUCACUUUGCUGCUUCUCUGUUGGUGCCUCCUGGGAUUAUCCCCGAAGUAAAUCAUACACACUACAGUCCUUAUCACAGGGCCUGCUUCUGGGAGAACCUACUGAAGACAAAACCCGCCGGCAUAGUCCAUGUGGGUCAGCCUCCCAUGGCAGAGAACAAGUGAAGAGAGGGUGCCUGGUCUGCUUCACACACUUCAGCUAGUAGGGAACAUCAAAGACCCUGAGAAGCCAAAAGUUAUGAAAUGCAUCAGCAGUGGGUUGAAGACAAGACCUCUCCUUUUCCUGCUGACAUUUCUUCCAUGAGCAGUACCCAGACAGCCGACAGAAAGAGCCCAGGAGAUCAAUGGUGGUGUUGGAUCAAAAUUGUAGCUCACAAGGAAAAUCCUGUAAAGGAACCAUAUUUUUCUGUGUUGCCUGCCAAAAUGAGAACAUCAUUUGUUAAAUAAUGUGGGACACAGGUGCCCCGGAUGUACUAUUUAAUGGAGAAAGAAAAAGAGAGAAACAAUGGCUGCCAGUAUCCGGGAAAAAUGCGACUAGCUUCUUAAGCUUCUUCACCCAGAAAUUGUUACAAAUAGAAGGGAAUCUGACUUUGAGCUAUGAGUUGUUGCUUCCCCAUGACUGAAUUCCCCAAGAACUGAGUUAUUACUGACCUGUGAUUUGCUCAUCGACAGACAGAGGAAAAAGGGUGAUAACUCCAGAGCACGUCAUUUUUAUUCUCCAUAUCUCAGAAAAUAGACUCCAAAACAGAGGAAUUAUUUUUCCACUUUACUGAGGAAUAUAAUGAUU
RNAcentral lists this long non-coding RNA (1653 nucleotides) under Homo sapiens (human). Its description in RNAcentral is "long non-coding RNA NONHSAT189334.1". Lineage: Eukaryota; Metazoa; Chordata; Mammalia; Primates; Hominidae. The record is from RNAcentral.